AUUGAACGCUGGCGGCAGGCCUAACACAUGCAAGUCGAGCGGAUGAAGGGAGCUUGCUCCUGGAUUCCGCGGCGGACGGGUGAGUAAUGCCUAGGAAUCUGCCUGGUAGUGGGGGAUAACGUCCGGAAACGGGCGCUAAUACCGCAUACGUCAUGAGGGAGAAAGUGGGGGAUCUUCGGACCUCACGCUAUCAGAUGAGCCUAGGUCGGAUUAGCUAGUUGGUGGGGUAAAGGCCUACCAAGGCGACGAUCCGUAACUGGUCUGAGAGGAUGAUCAGUCACACUGGAACUGAGACACGGUCCAGACUCCUACGGGAGGCAGCAGUGGGGAAUAUUGGACAAUGGGCGAAAGCCUGAUCCAGCCAUGCCGCGUGUGUGAAGAAGGUCUUCGGAUUGUAAAGCACUUUAAGUUGGGAGGAAGGGCAGUAAGUUAAUACCUUGCUGUUUUGACGUUACCAACAGAAUAAGCACCGGCUAACUUCGUG
RNAcentral lists this ribosomal RNA (484 nucleotides) under uncultured bacterium. RNAcentral describes it as "partial 16S ribosomal RNA". It matches the Rfam family "Bacterial small subunit ribosomal RNA", at positions 30 to 507 of the family's 1533-position model. The record is from RNAcentral.